This 287-nucleotide unclassified non-coding RNA is filed under the name uncultured fungus. Its description in RNAcentral is "partial contains small subunit ribosomal RNA, internal transcribed spacer 1, and 5.8S ribosomal RNA". The stretch from base 1 to 73 matches the Rfam family "Eukaryotic small subunit ribosomal RNA", at positions 1759 to 1831 of the family's 1831-position model. The record is from RNAcentral. Lineage: Eukaryota; Fungi.
GCAAACUUGGUCAUUUAGAGGAAGUAAAAGUCGUAACAAGGUUUCCGUAGGUGAACCUGCGGAAGGAUCAUUAAAGAUUCGGGUUUCGGCCCACCCUCCUCCUUCAGCUGUGCGCUUCGGCUGCACGCUGUCGGAAAACUUCACACACCUGUGCACACAUUCGGUUGCGGGGUAAUACCUGCGGCCGCUUCACAUCUAUCUACAAUAAGUCCAGAAUGUAAUAAAACUAUAUAAUAACAACUUUCAACAACGGAUCUCUUGGCUCUCGCAUCGAUGAAGAACGCAGC